RNAcentral lists this ribosomal RNA (437 nucleotides) under uncultured bacterium. Its description in RNAcentral is "partial 16S ribosomal RNA". It matches the Rfam family "Bacterial small subunit ribosomal RNA", at positions 28 to 507 of the family's 1533-position model. The record is from RNAcentral.
GAUGAACGCUGGCGGCAUGCUUUACACAUGCAAGUCGGACGGGAAGUGGUGUUUCCUGUGGCGGACUGGUGAGGAAAGCGUAAGAACCUGCCCUUGGGAGGGGGACAACAGCUGGAAACGGCUGCUAAUAAACCGUAGGCUGAGGAGCGAAGGGAGGAAUCCGCCCAAGGAGGGGCUCGCGUGUGACUGUCUAGUUGGUGAGGUAAUAGCUUACCAAGGCGGUGGGCAGGAGGUGGGCUGGGAGGAUGGUCCGCCACACGGGGACGGAGCGAGGCCGCAGCCUCCGGGGGGCGGCAGUGGGGGAGAUUGUACAGCAAUGGGCGGCAGCCUGACGCAGCGACGCGGCGGGGAGGUAAGCGGUCUACUGGUCAUGAACUUCCGCUUGUGAAGAAGAGACAAUGACGGUAUCGGGUGAAUAAGCACCGGCUAACUCUGUG